RNAcentral lists this long non-coding RNA (1374 nucleotides) under Lupinus mutabilis. RNAcentral's name for it is "partial ncRNA". Lineage: Eukaryota; Viridiplantae; Streptophyta; Magnoliopsida; Fabales; Fabaceae. The record is from RNAcentral.
UAUCAGAUUCAGAUCAGUCGCUACAAAGCGCGUAUACUUUCAACAACGCCAUUUACACGAAGGUCCAGACACAAUAGACAAGCUUCUAGACAUACAUUUAGAGAAGAAGGACAAAAAGGUAAAUUCCCUCGACGAUGACGAACAACAGUUAUCGAAUCGAAGAAAACUCACUAGUACUCGAAGAGAAGCACUGAGUCUCUACCGUGAUAUAAUUCGUGCCUCUCGCUAGACAGACAUUUAGAGAAGAAGGCCAGAAUAGUUGAAUAAAUCCGGCCCAUUACUAAAGAGAGAAGAAAAACAAAGGUAAUUUAUUUGUGACACCUAAAGGGUUAGGUUGAAUUGAGGAGUUGAAGUUGAAUGCAAAAUGUCUUUCGGAGAGGCCGUUAAACUCUUAAAUCAGAGAUGGAAGCCAAUUCUCAAAAUGCCUUCUGAACAGAAGCAUUCAAUCGCCAAUGGCCUUUUUGAUAUUAUCAAGAAUCACGGACCCAUCACUGUUUCCAACACUUGGGUUCGUGCCAAGGUACUCUCUUACUUUCUCUCUCUUUUUUUCACUCCACAUCCGAGUCUAGGACGGUAAAUGUACGCAGCUUUAUCCGGAUAAAUGUAGUCAGGUCUAUCCGGAUAAAUAUAGGUAGCUUUUUCCAGAGGAUAGAUGUAGGUAGCUUUAUCUGAUUGGAGUUGGGGAUCAGUCAAUAAGAUAAAUUAACAAUAACAAGUAAGGUCCACAAUAGAUUUGUAGUAAAUUAAGUGUUAGCAGGCACCUGGGUCCACAAUAGAUUUGUUACGGUUUUUGUUAUUACAAGCUUAUUGUUGUUUGUUAUGUUUCACAUUAAUGGUAAUUGUGUCUGUAAAUUAUAAGUUAGUAUUACUAAUUAAUGCCUAUGAAAAAUCAUGUUUACUGUAUUUGCUAUCUUCGUAUAGCAGCCGUCCUACCAUCCACCAUAUUGUUAUAGCUUAUAGCAUUUUUAGGGUCACAGCUGCUCUGCCAUUCGAGAUUCACUGCAUAGCUAUAAAGAUACUUUGGUGUCAAAAUAAGUUGAAAAGAGAUAGGUCCAAGGUAAAAUUGUACUUAGACCAUACACACGUGCAUAGACGACACAUGACUCGGCACGAGGUAGAUGUUUGUGUGUAUUCAUUCUCGCAUGAAACAUCUACCUCUAUGCCAUAAAGUAGAUACCUGGACAUAGUCCAUAUUAUAAACACUUGUGAAGAAUCUAUUUUACUCAAUGUGAAACUUCAGCCUUAUACAAUACUUUAAGUUUGACAAACUUUCAUGAUUUACAUCACAUGAUAUACUGAUAUUGUGACUGAUCAAAAUUAAAUCUUUCAAGUUUUUAAGCUGAGGAAAAAAUUAUUGUUAGAAUACACAAAAGA